GAUGAAGAACGCAGUGAAAUGCGAUAAGUAAUGUGAAUUGCAGAAGUCAGUGAAUCAUCGAAUCUUUGAACGCACAUUGCGCCCCCUGGUAUUCCGGGGGGCAUGCCUGUUCGAGCGUCAUUUCACCACUCAAGCCUCGCUUGGUAUUGGGCAACGCGGUCCGCCGCGUGCCUCAAAUCGACCGGCUGGGUCUUCUGUCCCCUAAGCGUUGUGGAAACUAUUCGCUAAAGGGUGCUCGGGAGGCUACGCCGUAAAACAAACCCAUUUCUAAGGUUGACCUCGGAUCAGGUAGGGAUACCCGCUGAACUUAAGCAUAUCAAUAAGCGGAGGA
Molecule: unclassified non-coding RNA, 331 nt
Filed under: soil metagenome
Description: partial contains 5.8S ribosomal RNA, internal transcribed spacer 2, and large subunit ribosomal RNA
Rfam family: 5.8S ribosomal RNA (bases 1-120)
Source: RNAcentral